Molecule: ribosomal RNA, 253 nt
Filed under: uncultured bacterium
Lineage: Bacteria
Description: partial 16S ribosomal RNA
Rfam family: Bacterial small subunit ribosomal RNA
Source: RNAcentral
UACGUAGGGUGCAAGCGUUGUCCGGAAUUAUUGGGCGUAAAGAGCUCGUAGGCGGCCUGUCGCGUCGGCUGUGAAAACCCGGGGCUCAACCCCGGGCCUGCAGUCGAUACGGGCAGGCUAGAGUCCGGCAGGGGAGACUGGAAUUCCUGGUGUAGCGGUGAAAUGCGCAGAUAUCAGGAGGAACACCCGUAGCGAAGGCGGCACUCUGGGCAUGUCCUGACGCUGAGGAGCGAAAGUGUGGGGAGCGAACAGG